UACGGAGGGUGCGAGCGUUGUCCGGAAUCACUGGGCGUAAAGGGCGCGUAGGUGGCGCGGCAAGUCAGCGGUGAAAGCUCGACGCUCAACGUCGAGUCGGCCGUCGAUACUGCUGGGCUUGAGCACUGUAGAGGCAGAUGGAAUUCCGGGUGUAGCGGUGGAAUGCGUAGAGAUCCGGAAGAACACCGGUGGCGAAGGCGGCCUGCUGGGCAGUAGCUGACACUGAGGCGCGACAGCGUGGGGAGCAAACAGG
This 253-nucleotide ribosomal RNA is filed under the name uncultured bacterium. Its description in RNAcentral is "partial 16S ribosomal RNA". It matches the Rfam family "Bacterial small subunit ribosomal RNA", at positions 524 to 776 of the family's 1533-position model. The record is from RNAcentral.